AUUUAUGAUGCAUUAGAUAAACCCAAGUACUACACGUGAAAUCGUUAACUAUGAUAAGAAAAUAAUGAGUCCCAAUCAAGGAUGCCUGUGCAAAAUGAUCCCAAAUAUCAUAGUGAAUUAAUUAAAAUGGCAUAGUGGUACUUUGAGUACCAGAUGUAAAAAGAAGUUUAGUCUGCAUAGAAAAAUGAUAUACAUCACAGUUUGAAAUAGG
RNAcentral lists this long non-coding RNA (211 nucleotides) under Elaeis guineensis (African oil palm). RNAcentral's name for it is "long non-coding RNA (EGUI_LNC005729)". The record is from RNAcentral. Lineage: Eukaryota; Viridiplantae; Streptophyta; Magnoliopsida; Arecales; Arecaceae.